GCCCCCGUUGUCUAAUGGUUAUGACGUCAGACUUCUAGACUUGUAUGUCGUGUUAUCUGGAGGUUGCGGGUUCGAGUCCCGCCGGGGGUU
Molecule: non-coding RNA, 90 nt
Organism: Fomitopsis serialis
Lineage: Eukaryota; Fungi; Basidiomycota; Agaricomycetes; Polyporales; Fomitopsidaceae
Source: the annotation of a RefSeq genome assembly